AGUGAACGCUGGCGGCAGGCCUAAUACAUGCAAGUCGAACGGCAGCACAGCAGAGCUUGCUCUGUGGGUGGCGAGUGGCGGACGGGUGAGGAAUACAUGGGAAUCUGCCCAGUCGUGGGGGAUAACGUAUGGAAACGUACGCUAAUACCGCAUGCGCCCUACGGGGGAAAGCCGGGGACCGAAAGGCCUGGCGCGAUUGGAUGAGCCCAUGUUCGAUUAGCUAGUUGGCGGGGUAAAGGCCCACCAAGGCGACGAUCGAUAGCUGGUCUGAGAGGAUGAUCAGCCACACUGGAACUGAGACACGGUCCAGACUCCUACGGGAGGCAGCAGUAGGGAAUAUUGGACAAUGGGGGCAACCCUGAUCCAGCCAUGCCGCGUGAGUGAAGAAGGCCCUCGGGUUGUAAAGCUCUUUUGUCCGGAAAGAAAAGCAUUCGGUUAAUACCCGGGUGUUCUGACGGUACCGGAAGAAUAAGCACCGGCUAACUUCG
RNAcentral lists this ribosomal RNA (488 nucleotides) under uncultured bacterium. RNAcentral describes it as "bacterial SSU rRNA". It matches the Rfam family "Bacterial small subunit ribosomal RNA", at positions 29 to 505 of the family's 1533-position model. The record is from RNAcentral.